RNAcentral lists this ribosomal RNA (351 nucleotides) under uncultured bacterium. Its description in RNAcentral is "partial 16S ribosomal RNA". It matches the Rfam family "Bacterial small subunit ribosomal RNA", at positions 338 to 681 of the family's 1533-position model. The record is from RNAcentral.
CCUACGGGAGGCAGCAGUGGGGAAUAUUGCGCAAUGGGCGAAAGCCUGACGCAGCGACGCCGCGUGAGGGAUGAAGGUCUUCGGAUCGUAAACCUCUGUCAGCAGGGAAGAACGGUCACUGGGCUAAACAGCAGUGAAUGGACGGUACCUGCAAAGGAAGCACGGGCUAACUCCGUGCCAGCAGCCGCGGUAAUACGGAGGGUGCGAGCGUUAAUCGGAAUUACUGGGCGUAAAGCGCUCGUAGGCGGUAUGUCAAGUCAAGGGUGAAAUCCCCGCGCUCCACGUGGGAACUGCCUUUGAAACUGGCAACCUGGAGUGUGUGAGAGGCUAGUGGCAUUCCAGGUGUCGGCG